This 407-nucleotide ribosomal RNA is filed under the name uncultured bacterium. RNAcentral's name for it is "partial 16S ribosomal RNA". It matches the Rfam family "Bacterial small subunit ribosomal RNA", at positions 30 to 526 of the family's 1533-position model. The record is from RNAcentral.
AUUGAACGCUGGCGGCAGGCCUAACACAUGCAAGUCGAGCGGAGCGGCGGACGGGAGAGUAAUGCCUAGGAAUCUGCCUGGUAGUGGGGGAUAACGUCCGGAAACGGGCGCUAAUACCGCAUACUAUCAGAUGAGCCUAGGUCGGAUUAGCUAGUUGGUGGGGUAAAGGCCUACCAAGGCGACGAACCGUAACUGGUCGGAGAGGAGGUUCAGUCACACUGGAACUGAGACACGGUCCAGACUCCUACGGUGGGCAGAAGUAGGGAAUAUUGGACAAUGGGCGAAAGCCUGAUCAAGCCAUGCCGGGUGUUUGAAGAAGGUCUUCGUAUUUAAAAGCACAUUAAGUUGGGAGGCGUUACCAACAGAAUAAGCACCGGCUAACUUCGUGCCAGCAGCGGCAGUAAUAC